GACCUCAAAUCAGGUAAGAAUACCCGCUGAACUUAAGCAUAUCAAUAAGCGGAGGAAAAGAAAAUAACAAUGAUUCCCUCAGUAACGGCGAGCGAAGAGGGAUAAGCUCAAAUUUUAAAUCUGUUGGGUUCCACUUAACAGAGUUGUAUUUUGAAGAAACGUUUUCUGCAUCCAGGAUUAGCCUAAAUCCUUUGGGAUAAGGUAUCAUGGAGGGUGAGAAUCCCGUUCAUGGUUAAUCUUAAGGAAGCUCUACGAUACGUUUUCCAAGAGUCGAGUUGUUUGGGAUUGCAGCUCAAAAUGGGAGGUAAAUUUCUCCUAAGGCUAAAUAUUGGCGAGAGACCGAUAGCGAACAAGUACCGUGAGGGAAAGAUGAAAAGAACUUUGAAAAGAGAGUUAAACAGUACGUGAAAUUGUUGAAAGGGAAACGAUUGAAGUCAGUCAUACCAACGGGAAAUCAACCUUUUGAGCUCGGUCUCGUGGGUUUUGAAGAGUUUCAAAGCCUUCGGAUUCGCGGGAUUGGGAUCUCUUGGUGUACUUUUUCGUACGGUUAGUCAACAUCGGUUUUGGAUGUCAUAAAAUGACUGGAGGAAUGUAGCUUCGAUCUCGUAUUGAAGUGUUAUAGCCUUUGGUAGAUGUGAUGUUUGAGACCGAGGAUUGCAACGGAUACCCUUCAGGGCUAUUCGUCUGAUCUCUGAUACGUUGCCUUGAUGUUGAAAGCUUGCUUAUGAUGUUAGGGUAUUACGGUCAAAAGGUUAGAACGGAUUAGAUUCGUUAAGGAUGUUGACGUAAUGACUUUAAACGACCCGUCUUGAAACACGGACCAAGGAGUCUAACAUAUAUGCGAGUGUUUGGGUGAUUAAACCCUUGCGCGUAAUGAAAGUAAUUUUGGUGAGAUCCGGGAAAAAAUUUUCGGAGCAUCAUCGACCGAUCAGGAUAUUU
This 939-nucleotide ribosomal RNA is filed under the name Funneliformis mosseae. RNAcentral's name for it is "LSU rRNA". It matches the Rfam family "Eukaryotic large subunit ribosomal RNA", at positions 1 to 779 of the family's 3401-position model. Lineage: Eukaryota; Fungi; Glomeromycota; Glomeromycetes; Glomerales; Glomeraceae. The record is from RNAcentral.